This 243-nucleotide ribosomal RNA is filed under the name uncultured bacterium. RNAcentral describes it as "partial small subunit ribosomal RNA". It matches the Rfam family "Bacterial small subunit ribosomal RNA", at positions 26 to 285 of the family's 1533-position model. The record is from RNAcentral.
AGAAUCAACGCUGGCGGCGUGCCUAACACAUGCAAGUCGAACGAGAAAGUGGAGCAAUCCAUGAGUAAAGUGGCGACCGGGUGAGUAACACGUGACUAACCUACCUUCGAGUGGGGGAUAACAUCGGGAAACCGAUGCUAAUACCGCAUAACAUCGCAAGAUCAAAGCAGCAAUGCGCUGGAAGAGGGGGUCGCGGCUGAUUAGCUAGUUGGCGGGGUAACGCCCACAAGGCGAAGAUCGGUA